GAUACAGAAAGUAAGCAAGGGCAGACGGUGGAUGCCUUGGCUCUCGGAGGCGAUGAAGGACGUGAUAAGCUGCGAUAAGCUUGGGGUAGGUGCAAAUAACCUUUGAUCCCAAGAUUUCCGAAUGGGGCAACCCGGCUGGUAGAAGGCCAGUCAUUCCGUAAGGAAGGCGAACGUGGGGAACUGAAACAUCUAAGUACCCAUAGGAGAAGAAAACAAAAGUGAUUCCGCAAGUAGUGGCGAGCGAACGCGGAACAGCCCAAACCGAUGAUGUUUAGGCAUUGUCGGGGUAGUAGGACCACGUUGUGGCAAGAGAUUAAGGAAGUAGAACGUUUUGGAACAAACGGCCGUAGACGGUGAAAGCCCGGUAUACGACUCUUUAACGAAGCCUAGUGGAAUCCUGAGUAGCGCGGAGCACGAGAAAUUCUGUGUGAAUCAGCGGGGCCCAUCCCGUAAGGCUAAAUACUCCCGAGAGACCGAUAGCGAACCAGUACUGUGAAGGAAAGGUGAAAAGCACCUCGAACAGAGGAGUGAAAUAGUCCCUGAAACCGUCUGCCUACAAGCGGUCGGAGCAACGUAAGUUGUGACGGCGUGCCUUUUGCAUAAUGAACCUACGAGUUACUUUCUCCGGCAAGGUUAAGGGCUUCAGGCCCGGAGCCGAAGCGAAAGCGAGUCUUAAUAGGGCGUGAUAGUCGGAGUGAGUAGACGCGAAACCAAGUGAUCUACCCUUGGUCAGGAUGAAGGUUGGGUAACACCAACUGGAGGUCCGAAUGGGUAUACGUUGAAAAGUGUUCCAAUGAACUGAGGGUAGGGGUGAAAGGCUAAUCAAACUUGGAGAUAGCUCGUACUCCCCGAAAUGCAUUUAGGUGCAGCCUUUAUUUAGUAUAGCAUGAGGUAGAGCGACUGAUUGGAUGCGAGGGCUUCACCGCCUAUCAAGUCCAGAUAAACUCCGAAUGCGUGCUAUAUAUUGAUAAGGAGUGAGGGCGCGGGUGCUAAGGUCCGCGUCCGAGAGGAGAAGAAUCCAGACCAUCAGCUAAGGUCCCCAAAUAACAGUUAAGUUGAACUAACGAAGUCGGACUGCAGAGACAGCUAGGAUGUUGGCUUGGAAGCAGCCAUUCAUUUAAAGAGUGCGUAACAGCUCACUAGUCGAGGAGUCCGGCGUGGAUAAUACUCGGGCAUAAACUGUUUACCGAAGCUAUGGAUGUGUAAACACAUGGUAGGGGAGCAUUCCAACGGCGUCGAAGGUGAAGGAUGACCUUUGCUGGAGCUUUUGGAAACGCAAAUGUAGGUAUAAGUAACGAUAAAGGAGGUGAGAAACCUCCUCGCCGAAAGACUAAGGUUUCCUGAUCAACGUUAAUCGGAUCAGGGUAAGUCGGGACCUAAGGUUAAGCCGAACGGCGAUACCGAUGGAAGAAUGGUUUAAUAUUCCCAUACUACUUUAUGGAGCGAUGUGGAGACGGAGAAGUGACAGUCCUGCCAUCUGACGGAAUAGGUGGUUGAAGAGUGUAGAUGUAGAUUCCUGUAGGCAAAUCCGCAGGGAGAGUCGACCUUGACAGUAUGCCGCGUGCUUGCACAAGGCAAAAUGGACGUAAUCAGGCUCCCAAGAAAAUCCGCUAAGCAUAUUCAUAAAGUACCCGUACCGUAAACGGACACACGUAGUUGGGUUGAAAAUACUGAGGCGCUCGAGUGAUUCACGGUUAAGGAACUAGGCAAAUUGACCCUGUAACUUCGGGAUAAAGGGUCCCUACUGAGAGGUAGGGCGCAGAGAAUAGGUCCAGGCAACUGUUUAACAAAAACACAUGGCUGUGCGAAAUAGAAAUAUGAAGUAUACAGCCUGACACCUGCCCGGUGCUGGAAGGUUAAGAGGAGAGCUCAUCGCAAGAGAAGGCUUGAAUUGAAGCCCCAGUAAACGGCGGCCGUAACUAUAACGGUCCUAAGGUAGCGAAAUUCCUUGUCGGGUAAGUUCCGACCUGCACGAAUGGUGUAAUGAUCUGGACACUGUCUCAACCGUGAGCUCGGUGAAAUUGUAGUAUCGGUGAAGAUGCCGAUUACCCGCGAUGGGACGAAAAGACCCCGUGAACCUUUACUAUAGCUUUACAUUGAAUUUGGGCAAUCGAUGUGUAGGAUAGGCCGGAGACAUUGAAUCAGGUACGCCAGUAUUUGUGGAGUCGCCGUUGAAAUACGGCCCUUUGGUUGUUUGAGUUCUAACCCGCAGAAGCGGGGACACUGUAUGGUGGGUAGUUUGACUGGGGUGGUCGCCUCCAAAAGAGUAACGGAGGCUUCUAAAGGUACCCUCAGACCGAUUGGUAACCGGUCGCAGAGUGUAAUGGCAUAAGGGUGCUUGACUGGGAGACAGACAAGUCGAUCAGGUAGGAAACUAGAGCAUAGUGAUCCGGUGGUUCCGCAUGGAAGGGCCAUCGCUCAAAGGAUAAAAGGUACUCCGGGGAUAACAGGCUGAUCGCUCCCAAGAGCUCAUAUCGACGGAGCGGUUUGGCACCUCGAUGUCGGCUCGUCACAUCCUGGGGCUGGAGAAGGUCCCAAGGGUUGGGCUGUUCGCCCAUUAAAGUGGCACGCGAGCUGGGUUCAGAACGUCGUGAGACAGUUCGGUCUCUAUCUAUCGUGGGCGUAGGAUAUUUGAGGGGCUCUGACACUAGUACGAGAGGACCGUGUUGGACAGACCACUGGUUUACCGGUUGUACCGCCAGGUGCACCGCCGGGUAUCUAAGUCUGGAUUGGAUAAGUGCUGAAAGCAUCUAAGUACGAAGCCAGCCUCAAGAUGAGAUAUCCCUAGAGGGUCGUUGUAGACUACGACGUAGAUAGGCUACAGGUGUAAGGGCAGUAAUGUCGAAGCCGAGUAGUACUAAUAGCCCGAGACUUUCGAUCAUAUA
RNAcentral lists this ribosomal RNA (2885 nucleotides) under Parabacteroides merdae. Its description in RNAcentral is "23S ribosomal RNA". It matches the Rfam family "Bacterial large subunit ribosomal RNA". The record is from RNAcentral. Lineage: Bacteria; Pseudomonadati; Bacteroidota; Bacteroidia; Bacteroidales; Tannerellaceae.